This 305-nucleotide ribosomal RNA is filed under the name uncultured bacterium. RNAcentral's name for it is "bacterial SSU rRNA". It matches the Rfam family "Bacterial small subunit ribosomal RNA", at positions 335 to 657 of the family's 1533-position model. The record is from RNAcentral.
UAUCCUACGGGGGGCAGCAGUGGGGAAUAUUGCACAAUGGGGGGAACCCUGAUGCAGCGACGCCGCGUGGGUGAAGAAGUCAUUCGUGACGUAAAGCCCUAUCAGCAGGGAAGAAAAUGACGGUACCUGACUAAGAAGCCCCGGCUAACUACGUGCCAGCAGCCGCAGUAAUACGUAGGGGGCAAGCGUUAUCCGGAUUUACUGGGUGUAAAGGGAGCGUAGACGGCAUGGCAAGUCUGAUGUGAAAACCCGGGGCUCAACCCCGGGACUGCAUUGGAAACUGUCAGGCUAGAGUGUCGGAGAGG